AGAACGAACGCUGGCGGCAGGCUUAACACAUGCAAGUCGAACGCGUGUAGCAAUACACGAGUGGCGCACGGGUGAGUAACGCGUGGAUAUCUGCCUUUUGGUUCGGAAUAACCCCGGGAAACUGGGGCUAAUACCGGAUGGUUCCUUCGGGAUAAAGAUUUAUCGCCAAAAGAUGAGUCCGCGUACGAUUAGCUAGUUGGUGAGGUAAUGGCUCACCAAGGCGACGAUCGUUAGCUGGUCUGAGAGGACGAUCAGCCACACUGGGACUGAGACACGGCCCAGACUCCUACGGGAGGCAGCAGUGGGGAAUAUUGGACAAUGGGGGCAACCCUGAUCCAGCCAUGCCGCGUGAGUGAUGAAGGCCUUCGGGUUGUAAAGCUCUUUUGGCGGGACGAUGAUGACGGUACCCGCAGAAUAACGCCCGGCUAACGUUCGCGCCAGCAGCCGC
Molecule: ribosomal RNA, 448 nt
Filed under: uncultured bacterium
Lineage: Bacteria
Description: SSU rRNA
Rfam family: Bacterial small subunit ribosomal RNA
Source: RNAcentral